RNAcentral lists this long non-coding RNA (5968 nucleotides) under Sus scrofa (pig). Its description in RNAcentral is "lncRNA (ENSSSCG00040046664.1)". Lineage: Eukaryota; Metazoa; Chordata; Mammalia; Artiodactyla; Suidae. The record is from RNAcentral.
AAAUCCAGAGAAGUCUGAACUCUUUAUCUUAAUGUACUCUAAUAGUAUUUCUAUUUGCUGUCUCUUGGAAGUAUCUGGGAAUAUCUGAAUUAGGAAAACAUUCUUUUGCCAUAAGGUGAUGUCUUGGGUGUUGUUGGUGAUUAGGUGGUCUUACUUAGUGAUCCUACUCUAAUUUUAGAUAAACAGGACAGACAACUUCUGCUUGGGUCUUUAACACCCAUUCAACAUACCCGCUUUUUUAAAUUGCUGUAAUUUUUGGUUUGUCUGGUUUUGUUUUUGUUUUUUUAUUUAAUAAUGGACAGAACAAGUGGAGGACCUUGGUUCUGAGUCAUUACUGUGGUGUAAUCAUGGACAUUUCAGGUCAAGUUAUUUCCUUGACAGAUAGCUUCUCUCAUGAGGCUGUUUAGUUCACUUAUUAUUUCAAAUUUUUAAAAAGUGAUCUGAUUAAAGCUGUGUGGCAUGGUGAGAAUUCUUCCUCCCUCUUUCUCUUUGUUUCCUUUCCUUCCUCCCUUCAUUCCUUUCCAUUCCUACUUAUUAAUGCUAUCCUGCUUGGACUUUUUAUAAAUAAAUCAACAUAUUAUGAUCCUUACAGAAUUAUGAUCAUAUAAGGGAAGAAUUGUAUCACAAAAUAUAUGCAGCAUCCAUAAAUCCUUUUAAAAGAGCAUAUUUUCCAGAUUGUGUUUAUUCAUAAAGUGAGGUGAGAUAAUAGAGUCUUUCAGUUUUAUUUUAAUGAGUUUUCUUCAGGGACUCAGAUCAUAGAGUUCUUGGCAAAUUCAUUUAUUACUGUCCUACUUUUCUCAGCUAUAAGCAAAGUGAUCUUUCUCAGACUAGGUUAAGAUUUUUUUUUUAAAUCCAAAGCAUUUUGACCAAGAAAACAAUCAUGUUUUUAAAUGGUAGCAUGUUAUUUUAGAUCAAUGAAAUUUGAGAAUUUUCCUUAUAGCAGGGAAAAACUAUUAUCUUUCUAGAAUUUUUACACAUAUCAGCACUUUUCCAAUGACAAUAUUAAAUACUAAUGCUUGAAUCACAGUAUUUUGCAGGAGUAGGUCAGCAACAGAGCUUUUCCCUAAAGCACAGAUUACCAGCCCUUUAGUCUGUUUAUAAAAAGCAACAUGAGAAGAACAAUCUGGGUCUUUCUGUAAAGCAUUAUCUUAAAAUUUGGAUCUGAGAUUUUUUUUUUCUUUUGUCUUUUGUCUUUUGUCUUUUUUAGGGCCCCACCCGUUGCAUAUGGAGAUUUCCAGGCUAAGGGUCCAAUCAGAGCUGAAGCCGCUGGCCUGCGCCACAGCCACAGCAGUGCCAGAUCUGAGCCACAUCUGUGACCUACUCCACAGCUCACACCAAUGCUGGAUCCUUAACCCACUGAACAAGGCCAGGGAUCGGACCCAUGUCCUCAUGGAUGCUUCUUGGGUUUGCUAACCGCUGAGCCACAACAGAAACUCCCUGGAUCUGAGAUUCUUUUGAACUCUGGCUAAUAUUGACCAGAACAUGCCCUCUGUGUCAUUUUAUGUAAAGUCUCUUUGGAAAAAGCUUACAAUUCUAGGAAUGUAUUUCCAUUUUUGGUUUCACCCUUACUCCCACUUUCUAUAAAUUGACCUUGAUUUUCCUUUUUUCAGAGGGUCACCUAUACAGAAGGUAAAAGCAUACCUAAUACAAACAUAAUUCAAUACAUAAAUGAAUUUGCCCAGAAUUAAUGAUAAUCUCAAUGAGUGUGUUGUUUUGAUAUGUAGGCAGAGGGGUUUUGGGGUUUUUUUUGUUUGUUUGUUUGUUCGUUUUUUAACCUGUCUCCAAGAAGAGUGGGAUUCAGGAGGGGAAGAAGGAAUGUGAAAGACAGGGCAGGUCAUAAUUCAAACAAUGACAAGAGAGCUCUUGUAUAGUAUAACUCUGAGAAUUUUCAUAGGGGUUUUAGGGAUUAGCAACUGUAGUUGUUUAAACAAGUGAAACAUUCAUAGCUUCAAGUUUAUGAGGUGUUUAAAAAUCGCUAUGACUAACAAUGUAUUUUUCCCUUGUCAGAAGAGUCAACUGAGACUAGCUUCCAGGCCCCAUGGCAUAGCCAUAAGCAGCUCAGACUUUUAUAAUGCAUGUCCUUUCAUCCCUCUCUGAGAAGGCCAUACCUCACACUCUCUCUGACAGAUGGCAAUGCAUGUUCUUCUAUAUUCUUAGCCUCUUUGACUGUGAUUCAUUUUGUACAUCACUUGCUUUCCAUAUGGUCCUCUUGAGAAAGAGAACAUCUCUCAAAUAUGAUGCCAACAAGAGUAUGACAACCAUGUAGUUCAGUCUCAAUCAAAUUUCCAUCUGGACUAAAACUCUGAAGGUUGAAAAUUGUGUUUUAUUCACCCCGCAUGCAUUGAGAUAGGCCUGUGAAGAACCCUUUUCUACUCUGUGCUGUAAUACAGGCACAGGGAGGAAUCCCUUCAAAUAUGGACAAACUCUGCCCGCUGAUAGGACUUCAUCUUGGCCCUAACCAGACGCAAAUGUAUGAUGUCAGGCCAACCCAAACCAUCCCAUUGUUUUCAAGUGUGAAGCAUAUGGAAGAUCCUUCAGCCAAAGACUGAAUUCAAGCAGGAGCUGUGACCGACACCACAGGUGCAGCAAUACCCGGUCCUCAACCCACUCUGCCAUAGCGGGAACUCUUAGCCAUGGAGUUCUGCUCUUUGCAAAACAAGUCCUCACACCUUGAGGCUGCCAGCAGUCUCUUCCACCUCCUUAUAGACUAUUCUGUGUAGUCCUGCCUUCUGGGAAACAAGCAGCGAUUGCAGAGAGUAAAGAGAUUCCCAGCCUGUCCCAUGUGGAUGAGACCACUAGACGCAGGUUGAUAAUGACUUCGGUUAGAGAGAAAAUGGAGAAGUGAGCAGCUCCAGAGCUCUGGAAGUGUCUUCAAAGAGGGGAAAGGAGAGGAAAGACACCCAUCAAUUGUGCCUUGGGAAGCUCAGAAGACACCCUUCUUCCUGCUGGAGUGUGGCAGAUUCUGGAGAAUCAAAAUGGUCUAACCCAAGCCUUUCUGUUCCAGUACUCCCCCCACUCAUUCUCUCCUUCCAAAACAUUGGACUGUAUCAGCCCGUGCCUCACCCAAGCUUCCCAGGCUGCGGGCCCCAUUAGUGUCUACUCAGCUCCUCUCUCCCACAGCCAGUCUGGUGGCAGGAGGGGCCAACUGUCCUCUGCUACAUUCCGAGAAAGCCUGUGAUCCUUGGGCAAAGAAGGAUCUCCCCAUCUGAGAUUUUGCUCCUUUCUCUGCAAGAAGCUGGACGCCUUCAUAGGCAGGCACGGUGCCCCUCGGAAAAUCAACCGAAGCCCCUGCCAGCUGUAGGACUCUCUUUCCUCAGGGUGUGAGUCACUUCUAUGACCUCUGAGUUUCCACCAGGUUCAGGGUCAAAGGAAAAGCCAGUACCCACAGGGCCUUUUGGCUCCCUGGGAAUUGUAGGAUGAAGGAUUCAUUAUAAGGCGAGAUGAUUGCCUUUUUCUUUUCAACUGUGAUUGGUGGCCCAGAAACCACAGCCAUCAAAUACACAGGCUCUGCUAAAUCAUCACUAUUUCAGCUACUAAUUAGGACUAAUGUUCACAGCAGAGGAGUCUGCGGGGGCAAUAAACCCCUCCUUCAAGUGGUUAAACUUGCAAGCAGACACACUUUGAUGACCACAAGAGCUGUUCCUUGGGAAGGGUGCUCCCUGGUAACAGCAUCCCCAAAACACGGCUCCAUGAAUGGAGGAUCAGUAGCCUAGAAAUCUGGGUGUCCAAGGCACCCUGUGUCCCCUGGCCAGACCCCUGUUCUGCCACCAGUUCUAUCAAGAUGUCUUCGGCAGCCACGUCCACAACAAAGUGAAUGGCAGGUUCCUUGGGUCAGGGUCAGCUGCAGGAUGACACUGCCCAAAGGCUCGGGCUGUGAAGGGAGAAUGACUAGAAGCACAGCUGGGGAGACAGUCACCUGCUGCUUCUGGGGUUUAGAGUUCCCUGCCCCUGGGCCCCCAGUUAAAGGAGUGAGUUUAGAGAAAGGCACCACGGUGCUGAGGACACAUGGGCCAUGGUGCUAAAUACUUUCACGUGAGUUGUCUCAUAGCAGACAUAGAGGUAUUUGGGUGUUCCCUUCAGUGGUUUGUGAGGUUUCGGGUUCAAUCCCUGGCCUCGCUCAGUGGGUUAAGGAUCCAGUGUUGCUGUGAGCUGUGGUGUAGGUCGCAGACGCAGCUCAGAUCCUGCAGCUGUGGUGUAGGCCGGCAGCUACAGCUCCAAUUAGAUCUCUAGCCUGGAAACUUCUAUAUGGCCCUAAAAAUCCCUCCCCUCCCCCCAAAAAGAAAAGAAAUAGAGGUAUUUGCUCCAGAUCUUUUUUAGAAGUAUUCUCUUCACGUAUUUUGCAAAAACAAAGAAAAACUACACAGGAACUACAUGCUCACUGUAGACCAAGUGAAAAAUAAAAGCAAGCAAGCAAGAAAGUUUAUUAUUCCAUAAGCCCAUCACCCAGAGGAGGGUUUCUCGACCUUAGCUCGGCUGACAUAGCUAACAGUGCUCUGCUGCGGGGGCAGCCUGUGCAUUGCAGGAUGUUUAGCAGCAUCCCUGGCCUCUUCUACCCACAAGAUGCCAGUAACACACUAUCUCCCCAGCCCUGCAAUUGGAACAACAAAUAGGUCACCAGGCAUUGCCCUAUACCCGCAACCGCAAAAUUACUCUCAUUAAAAACCGAAACUCUAGAGAUAAUCAGUAAUGCCAUUUUCCAGCCCUUUUUCCUUGCCUAUAAACAAGUGAUACAUAUUUUAAUGGAGUUGAAUAUAUUGUUUUGUAUUUUCAUUUUUCACUUAAGCAAAGAUCUUGAACAUUGGCCCAUGUUGAUAUCUGUUCUGCAAUAGCCUCUCAAACCCUUCAUUGUGCUCCACUGCAAAUUGUAACAUGAUGUCUUUCAUCCUCGGUAUUAUUUCCAAGGAUAGUAAGAAUAUUAAAGGAAAAACCAAAUUAUUGUCCCUCUUUUGGCUUCUAAAAUGGGAAGCAGUUGGAAUAAUGCAUAUGUAUGGGGACAAAAAUCUUUCUAUUGUGACUUUCCAUUUAUAGCCACCACUGGGGAGCAAGAAAGGGAGAGAAAUUUCAAGUUAAGACUCUGCUAUGCUGUUAGUGGGUAAGAUACCAAGUAGAGUCCAUUCAUAAGCCUCUGGUUAGUGUGGGUUGGGAACUGAGGAACAGAGAGCCAGAUGAAUUUGAAACAUAUAAGGGAAGGGACAUAGCCUGGGAGUGGGUAGUUGAAGAGGAGGCCAAGAAUGAGGGAUCCUGGAAAAGAGAGAGGAGAGUUGAUGGAAAGAGGCUUAGAAUGGGGUGGGAUGGGGUUGGGGUAUGUGCUGAGAAAGGUAUUUAGUUGUCUGCUCAACAUCAAACCUUUCCCUGUCCAAACCCUUAGGAAAACCUGACCACACGCCUUGCUGUGUCCUCUUUGCCAAGGUACAUGGGGGAAUGAAAGGCAUUUGGGGUGGAUUUUAUUAUGCAGAAAAGGGGCAGUGGGGGCAGAUGUAAAAUACAGAUCAGGGAUGGAGAAUGAAAUAGAUUUUGUAGGCAGAGUCAAUUCGGAAAAUGAGAACCGUCAGAAACAUUGGGAUCAGGGUUACAGGGUUUUCCCUGCACAUGAGAUGAGCACCUGAGACAACUUGUUUAAAUAUUUAAGGCCAAAGUGACCUCAGCAGAGAAAGGACUUAAGGAAUAUCCAGUCUCAGCAGACACUUAAAUUACAUUCCUUUUUUUUUUUUGCUCUCACAAAUAGUACACAGAAUACCAUUAUAGGAGUUCCCAUUGUUGGCACAAUGGAAAAGAACCUGACUAGUAUCCAUGAGGACUCGGGUUCAAUUCCUAGCCUCACUUGGUGGCUUAAGGAUCUGGCAUUUCCGUGAGCUGUGGCAGCAGAUGAGGCUUAGAUCUGGCUUUGCUGUGGCUGUGGUGUAGGCCAGCAACUGCAGCUCCGAUUUGACCCCUAUCCUGGGAGUUUCCAUAUGCCCCAGGUGCAAGC